ACGGAAGGCAGCAGUGAGGAAUAUUGGUCAAUGGGCGGAAGCCUGAACCAGCCAAGUCGCGUGAAGGAUGAAGGUAUUAUGUAUUGUAAACUUCUUUAGCAGCAGAGUAAUAAGGGGGUCGUGACCCCCGAUGCAAGUAUGCUGAAAAUAAGGAUCGGCUAACUCCGUGCCAGCAGCCGCGGUAAUACGGAGGAUCCGAGCGUUAUCCGGAUUUAUUGGGUUUAAAGGGUGCGCAGGCGGUUUUUUAAGUCAGUGGUUAAAUCGUGAGGCUCAACCUCAUCACGCCAUUGAUACUGGAAGACUUGAUUGCGGUUGAGGUUGGCGGAAUUCGUCGUGUAGCGGUGAAAUGCACAGAUAUGACGAAGAACACCGAUUGCGUAGGCAGCUGACCAAGCCGUAAAUGACGCUCAUGCACGAAAGUGCGGGGAUCGAACAGGAUUAGAUACCCUGGUA
This 453-nucleotide ribosomal RNA is filed under the name uncultured Porphyromonadaceae bacterium. RNAcentral describes it as "partial 16S ribosomal RNA". It matches the Rfam family "Bacterial small subunit ribosomal RNA", at positions 341 to 792 of the family's 1533-position model. Lineage: Bacteria; Pseudomonadati; Bacteroidota; Bacteroidia; Bacteroidales; Porphyromonadaceae. The record is from RNAcentral.